GGGUAUUUAGCUCAGUGGUAUAAGCACCUGCCUUGCAAGCAUGCAGUCCUGAGUUCAAUCCCUAGUACCUA
Cavia porcellus (domestic guinea pig) is the source of this 71-nucleotide transfer RNA. It matches the Rfam family "tRNA". Rfam says of the family: Transfer RNA (tRNA) molecules are approximately 80 nucleotides in length. NCBI's taxonomy places the organism in Eukaryota, Metazoa, Chordata, Mammalia, Rodentia, Caviidae. The record is from Rfam.